Molecule: small nuclear RNA, 124 nt
Organism: Cebus imitator (Panamanian white-faced capuchin)
Lineage: Eukaryota; Metazoa; Chordata; Mammalia; Primates; Cebidae
Source: Ensembl
ACCAUCCUUUUCUUGGGGUUGCACUACUGUCCAGUGAGCAUAGUGUGGGCAGUACUGCUAACGCCUAAACAACACACUCACAUCAACUAAAGCCCUGCUUUAUGCUGGUGCAAUUUUUGGAAAA